UAGAAGCUUAUUGAGAUUGGGGAAAUUUGAUUUGGCAUGGGUUUUCUAAGAACAAGUUUUGAAGGCUGCUAUCACACUGGAAGUCUGGUUCUGGGUAUGAUUUUGGGUAAGAAGAAAGAGAGAGAGAAGAGAGAAAAGGAGAGAGAAAGAAUAAAAAAAGAAAAGACAGAAGGGUUUGGAUUUGUCAAAUUUGACAAAUUGGUUUGAUAUGUCAAAUCUAUUGGAUUUGACAGAUCUAUUGGAGUUGAGUUGCUAUGUCAUUUCCUACCGUUGCCUUGUCCAUCUAGCAAAAGACUUAUCCGUUGGAAAUGGUUUUAGUCAUUUUGACUCAAGGUAUGGCUCAAAAGCCAUUUUGACACCCUUUUGAUUUGGGUUGGAGAUGGUGAAACAAAAGCCCCUUAGUCAUUUUGGCUUUUGACUCCAUUGUUGGAGAUGCCCUAAUGCACUUCGCUCCAAAAGCUCCGAUACCCCCAGCUGCCUUUCAGUAUGAGAAGCCUCCAUCAAGGUCAACAUCUACUCUUGCGAUAUCAGGCUUAUCCAUCACAAUCAAUAUCACCAAAAACUGGAUUAAUUUGGUUCCCACCAAACCGAUCGGAAGCCAGACGACCGGAACCAGCGGUCUCCGAAAGAAGUCAAUUCAAUCAUCAACGGCUAAAUGGAUACAAUAGUUCAUCAAUUUCAUACAAGUGAAGACAAAGAAAGUUUCUUUAUGAUCAGAACCCAGAGCCCAUUUUCCGGAUUGUUUUCAUUUGCUACCGCUUUCGCUUGAUCUUUG
Molecule: long non-coding RNA, 775 nt
Organism: Rosa rugosa (rugosa rose)
Lineage: Eukaryota; Viridiplantae; Streptophyta; Magnoliopsida; Rosales; Rosaceae
Exons: 3
Source: RefSeq, a predicted model, not a curated record